CCAGCUUCUGCUCCUGGGCAGCAGAGGUGCGUCCGUGGCGCCGCGCACCUUUCGAUCCCCUGCGGGGCCGCGUGUCACCGCGCGCUCUGCGCGCGCCUGCGUCUGUGCCUGUCCGUCCGUGUGUGCAUGUGUGUGUUAAACCGCCGGACUUUCUGGUGGGGCAACAAUCCGCCUCCAGCUCCCAGCGCUCGCGCGCGUC
Molecule: long non-coding RNA, 199 nt
Organism: Scleropages formosus (Asian bonytongue)
Lineage: Eukaryota; Metazoa; Chordata; Actinopteri; Osteoglossiformes; Osteoglossidae
Exons: 3
Source: RefSeq, a predicted model, not a curated record